GACGAACGCUGGCGGCGUGCUUAACACAUGCAAGUCGAACGGAAAGGCCCUGCUUGCAGGGUACUCGAGUGGCGAACGGGUGAGUAACACGUGGGUGAUCUGCCCUGCACUUCGGGAUAAGCCUGGGAAACUGGGUCUAAUACCGGAUAGGAGCCAUUUUUAGUGUGAUGGUUGGAAAGUUUUUUCGGUGUAGGAUGAGCUCGCGGCCUAUCAGCUUGUUGGUGGGGUAAUGGCCUACCAAGGCGGCGACGGAUAGCCGGCCUGAGAGGGUGGACGGCCACAUUGGGACUGAGAUACGGCCCAGACUCCUACGGGAGGCAGCAGUGGGGAAUAUUGCACAAUGGGCGCAAGCCUGAUGCAGCGACGCCGCGUGGGGGAUGACGGCCUUCGGGUUGUAAACUCCUUUCGCUAGGGACGAAGCUUUUUGUGACGGUACCUAGAUAAGAAGCACCGGCUAACUACGUG
RNAcentral lists this ribosomal RNA (465 nucleotides) under uncultured bacterium. RNAcentral describes it as "partial 16S ribosomal RNA". It matches the Rfam family "Bacterial small subunit ribosomal RNA", at positions 28 to 507 of the family's 1533-position model. The record is from RNAcentral.